ACUGCGGGCGUGACUGCUACGCCAUCCGCGUCGCCACUGCCCUCACGCUGAUGACCGGGCUUUACCAGGCCUUCUGUCCUAGGUGGGGUGGGGCAUGGCCUCCCCACCCCUGAAGGUCUCCUGCCUUGUGCUGUCCACCUUGGCCGGUCCACCUUGGCCCCCGUUGGCUCCACAUCUGUAUGGGGGGUAGUGGGGGAAGCCAUGCGUAGAAAGCAGGAGGAAGGGGCUGCCUUCUGAUGCCAGAGAUCUUAAUUCUGAAAUAAAACGGGCUGCUGCACGUGA
RNAcentral lists this small RNA (282 nucleotides) under Pongo abelii (Sumatran orangutan). RNAcentral's name for it is "processed transcript". The record is from RNAcentral. Lineage: Eukaryota; Metazoa; Chordata; Mammalia; Primates; Hominidae.